This 1138-nucleotide long non-coding RNA is filed under the name Struthio camelus australis. RNAcentral's name for it is "lncRNA (ENSSCUG00000003882.1)". The record is from RNAcentral. Lineage: Eukaryota; Metazoa; Chordata; Aves; Struthioniformes; Struthionidae.
CAUCCCAUGGCAGCUGCUCACCUUUCAAACCCACGCCACAAGAGAUAAGGUUUAAAGGAAACAUCACAAGGAGUUUCUCUCCCCCUUCCCCAAACCCUUUGGGAGGCUGAUGGCGAAGAAGAGAUGGGCUGAAGCUGGGACCUCGAAGCAGAGCUGAGGAGAGGAAGGCUCCCUGUGCUGGCCCUGCUGCUGCAGGGCAUGGGAAAGGCAAGAGGGCGAAAGGAGCAACUGCAACAGAUCUCUGUGCUUUUCUUAAGUCAUUCAAUUCGGUUGGAGCCUGGAAGCUCAGAGACAGGCAUGGAAGAAAAGCACUUCACUUCCCACUAACAUUACCUCACACCCACUUAAGAGCCCUGUACGUGCCAGCAAAAGACAAACCAGAGCGUCCGUGGGCAGAGAACACAAAAGCGACGUGAGCGCAGUCAACGCUGUACUCGAGAGCAAUCUACAGAGCGGAGGAAGAGACGGGCUGAGGCAUUUGCUCAGCUCCAGAUAUUUUAUAGAGAUAUUUGCCUCUGAUUGCCAGGAUUUAAAGUAGAUUUGUUUACAGUGAGUGUGGUAAAAUUGCUACGAACUGAGAAACUGUUACAAUUAAGUUGUCAAUCUGUAUCCGAUUGUAUCCGAUGUCAACAAUAAGAUAGAUAGCAAGUUCAAGCGGUAUUAAAAAAAAAAAAAACGCCAAUUCAUUCUACUAUCACUUUGCUUAGCUAAAGCCAGCUUAAUUCUAUUUAUAUAUAAGAUAAAGUAACAUCUAUUCAGAACAACACCCUGUGACUAGGCAAACGUGUCUUUGAACUGAUUCUUGUUUCAGUCGCGGCACUGUUUCAAGCUGAGCUUCCCAGUUCCUCAGUGCCCUGACGAGGAAAGAAGCAAGUUUCAGCUCCUGCAGACCGCCCCACAAGGGCGCAGGCAGCAGGCGCCUGUAGGCCUUCGCAAGAGAAGGUUUAACUUAUAGCCACCAAUUUCUGCUGAUGAAUUUGAACCUAAUGUUGUGAUCAGGUUGGAGGCUGGCUGGUACCGAGUUUUAUUUUAUCAUUCUGGUUUCCAGGGUGAUUGGAGCAGGGAUUAGACCCCAGGUCCCCAGUUCCCGCUCCCAAACAGGACUGGGUUGGCCACUGGGCUGUAGGCUCCGACUGCC